UGGUUGUGGUUUUUCUCAGUACUCUGAAGGCAAGGACUCUUUCUAAUCUAUUUUUCCUUUCUCUUCGCAGUCAUUUGAACACAGCAGAUCUUAGUGAUUUGCCCCUUACUUGAGCAAGUAACGUCAAUCCAUAAAAGUGAUUUCUAGAGCAAAGCAGUUGGUGAUGAAGAUCCAAUGUCUGCACCAUAUGAAGAAGCUGUAUUUCUACAAGUUUCAUCUGAAGAGGAUCCAGCUCAUGCCCUUCAAGACCAUGCCAGGAUGACAACCGAACCAUGAUAAAUACUUCACACAAGAAAGUGAAUAGAGUUUCCAGAGGAAAAAGGAUCUUCCCAGGCUCUUUUCUUUGAGGAUAUAUUUUUAAAAUGCAGUAACUGACAUAUGGUGUAAGAAUACUCAGUUCAAAGGAAGAAACAAAACAAGACAGAAAACACAGACUGGUUUCUGUUUUUAUGACUCAGUUACAACAAGCAAUGCUCCUCCAGGUAUAGCAAGGAAAUCAUCCCGACGUUUCCGCAAGUGUGGCACUAGUAUUUUAUAAUGACUUCCUACAAGUCCUUUGUGAUCUUGACCCUCUUUGUCCAUAGCUCUUAUGAAGAUUUGCCUCCUGAUAUUGGACUUGUCAGAUGGUUUUUCUGCUUCCAGAAAGGACUCUUUUUUACUGUCAAGCCCAGCACACUGUCUUUUUCAAAGACCCUCUCCUGGCUGUCUGUCUGGAAGCAUCACCUCAGUGCAAAACAGGCAGGCCGCUGGAUUUAUUUUGGCUCACCUCUCCUUAGCAGGGGCUAAUACCCUGAAGGCAGCAUUACAUGGUGUUAUAACUAGAUGUGUGGACAUGAAAUUCUGAUUGCUAAAUCCUGGGCCUACAGACAUUUGUGACAGGAUUCAGAGAAAGAAUCAUGAAAAAAGAAUAAAAAUGCAAAGGAAGAAAUCAGCUGAGGACAAGAGGAGAUAAUGAACCAAAUAAAUGCAUGGAGGUAUAAUACCAUACCUGGAAUGAAGCAUCCAGAGCUCUCUGCCAUGAAAUGUUCUGGAAAAAAAUCUGAAAGACCACAAGAUUUUAAGGGAAGAAAUUAAUUGAAGAGCAAUCAAAAAACAGAGUCAAGAUGCUAAAACCAGACAUGCCCAAACUAUGGAGAAAUUGGAUUCCAAGAGCUCUGAAAUAUGGGCCUUUAUGUAGUCAGAAAACAUUACAGAAAAUGAAAGUGAUAAAGAAAGAAAAGGGAAAAAGAAUCCUCCCUGGAUCUAAGAGAACUGGGAGAAGCAAUGAGAAAAGAGGAAAAUUCACUGACUAUAACUAAAAUUAUAAUCUUUUUCUGCCUGUCUUCCUAAUGAGAGUGUAAAAAAAUUGCUGCAUUUUUUUGCUUGCUAUGUGUGAUGCUUAGAUACAAAUCACCUAUGGGGUUGUGACUAGACUGCAGUGAAACUAAUGACGUGAGUCUGUAGACUUGGGAUGAGAAAAUAUUUAUAAAAAAAAGAUCAGCCUGGUGAAAGGAAUGUUAAAAUUAUUUUUAUUAUGAUAUUAUAACAUUUAUAUCUGUUCAUGUUAUUAUACUUUAGGAAUGUGUGUGGUUAUCACUAGGUAGAAGAAUCAUGAAUCAUUCAGCUUCCAAGGGACGUCCCUGGAGAACAGUCUCAAAUGCAGAUGUUUCAGAAUUCCCAAAUUACUUGCUAGAGUUGGAGGGACUGAUUCAAGGUCUUUCACAGAUGAGUUGUUAUGAGAUAUCCUGAAAUGGCAAUUAAAAUUGUUCUUCAGAGGUCAAUUGGUUACUCUGGUUUAAAACCAGGGUAGUCCAACAGACUGCAGUUAACCUGGGUUGAAAGGCAGGUGAAGGAACUGUUUUUUUAAAUAUGUGUCACUUUGAUGGCUAUCUAUCUCAUUUACUUACUGCAAAAGUUAGCACUGUUUUACUAGAAUGAUCAUUAUCACAAACUAUACUUUCUGCAUUUAGUGUGAAUGUAGAAAAAAAACUUGGUUGUCCUCAAGUAUGGUGAGGAUCCAAGUUCAGGAUAUUCAUACUCAUAGUCAUCAGCUCCCUUGGUUUCAUUUCAGUUAUAUUCUAUCCUAUCAAGGGAGGAAAAGAAUAUAGAGUUUUUCAGUUACCAAAUAGAUAUUCUUUCAUGUUAUUACAAAUCUUUCAGAUUUCAAAAAAAAAAAAAAAUUUUUUUUGCAAGAGCACAGAUGGUUUUCAGUUCUUCCAAAAAGAUGGCUUAAGAGGAAAGAUGCAACUUCUAUUGCUGACAAUAAAUGUUAAAAAGUUAACUGAUCUGAGUGUGGAAAUGAGAAGACAAAAUUUUCUUUUCAUUGAAUUGUGCUAAAUAAGCUAAGCACAUUCUACAUGAAACUACUAUCAAAACACAAUAGGCGAAAAUAUAAAAAUAUUUUUGCCACACUUAUUUUGGAGCCAGUAAGUGCCACAGUACCACUAGUGUGAGGAAGGGAGCCCGUAGGACAAUCAGUGAUCAUUCUUACUUCCUCAUUCCUUUGUUGCUGUUAUCCCUGUAAUGCUCCAUAAAAGCUGGCGGAAAUUUUGCUACAGAUUUUAAAUAGAAUGAAUAAAUAUCUUCAUGUUACAAUUAAGAAAUUUAUGUUGAAAUUUUGUAAGCUACAAGUUUACCUUCUAAAAUAUAAAACAUUCUGUUUAUCUUGUUCUGGAUCUGAACCUUCAUAUCUUACUCAGGCAAAAUUAAAAAUAAAUCAGCCAUUGUUGGUUAAAGAGGGGAUUUCUUUCAAAAGAUAUCUCACAGAAAUGUAUUUUUUCCCAUUGUGCAAAGACUAUGACACAUACGAGUAAGAAUAAAAACAUUAAAACUGUAUUGAUUCCUCUGAAUUUAUUUUUGCUACUUCAUUUAUAUUGGCUAAAUCUCAAUGAAAAGGAUAAGUUUUCUCAAAGAUUAUGUGAUUUAAAAAAAGAACUUCCAAUAAAUAUAAAUAGGUUAUGCUUUACAAAGGAUGCUAGAUAUUUUAUGUAUUUCCUGUAGAUUGGAAACAUAGGUUUGUAUUGAACGUUCCACAGCAAUUCACAACGUGUUUAAAUACCAUUACUACUGGGUUUAUUCCACCCUAUACCUAAUCCUUAACAAGAUCUCAGUACUCAGCAGAACAAAGUAGUGAGACCGUUUAACAAUUUAUCAAGGAGAUUUCCGCCACCUAGUGGAAAAUAUAUGAAUGACAUGAAUACAUACCUGAAUAUCUAAAAACCUUUGUUUCAAGACGAAGUAUGUAACUGCUCUAUCUAAACCAUUAGAAAAAUGUAUUUACUUCCAUAGUAUUUUUUAAUAAAAAAACUCUACU
Long non-coding RNA from Dromaius novaehollandiae (emu), 3292 nucleotides. RefSeq lists it as uncharacterized. The transcript is spliced from 4 exons. NCBI's taxonomy places the organism in Eukaryota, Metazoa, Chordata, Aves, Casuariiformes, Dromaiidae. The record is from RefSeq and is a predicted model, not a curated record.